This is an unclassified non-coding RNA of 285 nucleotides. The stretch from base 1 to 46 matches the Rfam family "Eukaryotic small subunit ribosomal RNA", at positions 1786 to 1831 of the family's 1831-position model.
AAGUCGUAACAAGGUUUCCGUAGGUGAACCUGCGGAAGGAUCAUUAAUGAAUUCUGAAAGGGGUUGUUGCUGGCCUUUUCGUUUGAGAGGCAUUUUGUGCACGCCCUGAUCAUUCUCCAUUUCAUACACCUGUGCACACACUGUAGGUCGGUUUGCGAGGUGGAGCCUUCAUUGGCGUAGCUUUGUAGGCCUUCCUAUGUUUUAUCACAAACUACUAGUUUAAAGAAUGUCUAUUGCGUGUAACGCAUCUAUAUACAACUUUCAGCAACGGAUCUCUUGGCUCUC